GAUGAACGCUGGCGGCGUGCUUAACACAUGCAAGUCGAACGAGAAGUGAAGACGGAAACCUUCGGGCGGAAGGCUUUAUUUCGAGUGGCGGACGGGUGAGUAACGCGUGGGUAACCUGCCUCAUACAGGGGGAUAACAGUUGGAAACGACUGUUAAUACCGCAUAAGACCACAGCACCGCAUGGUGCGGGGGUAAAAACUCCGGUGGUAUGAGAUGGACCCGCGUUCGAUUAGCCAGUUGGCGGGGUAACGGCCCACCAAAGCGACGAUCGAUAGCCGAUCUGAGAGGAUGACCGGCCACAUUCGGACUGAGACACGGCCCAAACUCCUACGGGAGGCAGCAGUGGGGAAUAUUGCACAAUGGGGGAAACCCUGAUGCAGCGACGCCGCGUGAGUGAAGAAGUAUUUCGGUAUGUAAAGCUCUAUCAGCAGGGAAGAAAAUGACGGUACCUGAGUAAGAAGCCCCGGCUAACUACGUG
RNAcentral lists this ribosomal RNA (478 nucleotides) under uncultured bacterium. RNAcentral describes it as "partial 16S ribosomal RNA". It matches the Rfam family "Bacterial small subunit ribosomal RNA", at positions 28 to 507 of the family's 1533-position model. The record is from RNAcentral.